UACGUAGGGUGCAGCGUUGUCCGGAUUAUUGGGCGUAAAGAGCUCGUAGGCGGCUUGUCGCGUCGAAUGUGAAAACCCACGGCUCAACUGUGGCUUGCAUUCGAUACGGGCAGGCUAGAGUUCGGUAGGGGAGACUGGAAUUCCUGGUGUAGCGGUGAAAUGCGCAGAUAUCAGGAGGAACACCGGUGGCGAAGGCAGGCCCCUG
Molecule: ribosomal RNA, 205 nt
Filed under: uncultured bacterium
Lineage: Bacteria
Description: partial 16S ribosomal RNA
Rfam family: Bacterial small subunit ribosomal RNA
Source: RNAcentral